GCCUUCGGGAUGUAAUGGUCAGCGCACUCGACGCGUAUUCGAGAGGUCCGAGGUUCGAGUCCCGGCUAGGGCA
Molecule: non-coding RNA, 73 nt
Organism: Stegodyphus mimosarum
Lineage: Eukaryota; Metazoa; Arthropoda; Arachnida; Araneae; Eresidae
Source: Rfam